CCUACGGGAUGCAGCAGUGGGGGAUAUUGCACAAUGGGCGGAACCCUGAUGCAGCGACGCCGCGUGGGUGAAGAAGCGCCUCGGCGCGUAAAGCCCUUUCAGCAGGGAAGAAAAUGACGGUACCUGAAGAAGAAGCCCCGGCCUACUACGUGCCAGCAGCCGCGGUAAUACUUAGGGUGCAAGCGUUAUCCGGAUUUACUGGGUGUAAAGGGGGUGCAGACGGCGGUGCAAGCCCGGAGUGAAAGCCCUGGGCCCAACCCCGGGACUGCUCUUGGAACUGGGUGGCUGGAGUGCAGGAGGGGCAGGCGGAAUACCUGGUGUAGCGGUGAAAUGCGUAGAUAUCAGGAGGAACACCGG
RNAcentral lists this ribosomal RNA (357 nucleotides) under uncultured bacterium. Its description in RNAcentral is "partial 16S ribosomal RNA". It matches the Rfam family "Bacterial small subunit ribosomal RNA", at positions 338 to 712 of the family's 1533-position model. The record is from RNAcentral.